RNAcentral lists this ribosomal RNA (400 nucleotides) under uncultured bacterium. Its description in RNAcentral is "bacterial SSU rRNA". It matches the Rfam family "Bacterial small subunit ribosomal RNA", at positions 355 to 772 of the family's 1533-position model. The record is from RNAcentral.
UGGGGAAUAUUGGACAAUGGGCGCAAGCCUGAUCCAGCCAUGCCGCGUGAGUGACGAAGGUCUUCGGAUUGUAAAGCUCUUUUGGCGGGGACGAUAAUGACGGUACCCGCAGAAUAAGCCCCGGCUAACUUCGUGCCAGCAGCCGCGGUAAUACGAAGGGGGCUAGCGUUGUUCGGAAUUACUGGGCGUAAAGCGCACGUAGGCGGACUCUUAAGUCAGGGGUGAAAUCCCGGGGCUCAACCUCGGAACUGCCUUUGAUACUGUGAGUCUCGAGACCGGAAGAGGUGAGUGGAAUUCCUAGUGUAGAGGUGAAAUUCGUAGAUAUUAGGAAGAACACCAGUGGCGAAGGCGGCUCACUGGUCCGGUUCUGACGCUGAGGUGCGAAAGCGUGGGGAGCAAA